ACUCCUACGGGAGGCAGCAGUGGGGAAUUUUUCGCAAUGGGCGAAAGCCUGACGAAGCAACGCCGCGUGGAGGAUGACGGCCCUCGUGGUCUUAAACUCCUGUCUAGCGGGACGAAAGUAUUGGAGGUGAAUAAUCUCCGAUAUUGACUGUACCGCUGGAGGAAGCUCCGGCCAACUCCGUGCCAGCAGCCGCGGUAAUACGGAGGGAGCAAGCGUUACUCGGAAUUAUUGGGCGUAAAGGGCGCGUAGGCGAUCUGAAAAGUUCUGUGUGAAAGCCCACAUGUUAACUGUGGAAGUGCACAGAAAACUGUUGGAUUUGAGUUCAGGAGAGGAAGGCAGAAUUCCCGGUGUAGCGGUGAAAUGCGUAGAGAUCGGGAGGAAUACCAGUGGCGAAGGCGGCCUUCUGGACUGACACUGACGCUGAGGCGCGAAAGCCAGGGGAGCAAACGGGAUUAGAUACCCCGGUAGUCCUGGCUGUAAACGAUGUGCACUUGGUGUGAGCCGGUUUUCGGUUCGUGCCGAAGUUAACGCAA
Molecule: ribosomal RNA, 533 nt
Filed under: uncultured bacterium
Lineage: Bacteria
Description: bacterial SSU rRNA
Rfam family: Bacterial small subunit ribosomal RNA
Source: RNAcentral